Molecule: ribosomal RNA, 274 nt
Filed under: uncultured bacterium
Lineage: Bacteria
Description: partial 16S ribosomal RNA
Rfam family: Bacterial small subunit ribosomal RNA
Source: RNAcentral
AUACGGAGGGUGCAAACGUUGUUCGGAAUCACUGGGCAUAAAGAGCUCGUAGGCGGCUGUGCAAGUGUGAAGUGAAAUCCCACGGCUCACCCGUGGAACUGCUUUGCAGACUGCACGGCUAGAGGAUGGUAGGGGAGAGCGGAACUCCUGGUGGAGCGGUGAAAUGCGUAGAUAUCAGGAGGAACACCGGUGGCGAAGGCGGCUCUCUGGUCCAUUUCUGACGCUGAGGAGCGAAAGCUAGGGUAGCGAACGGGAUUAGAAACCCCGGUAGUCC